UCGUUGGGUAGGGGAGCGUUCUGUAAGCCUGCGAAGGUGGCCUGUGAGGGUUGCUGGAGGUAUCAGAAGUGCGAAUGCUGACAUAAGUAACGAUAAAGCGGGUGAAAAGCCCGCUCGCCGGAAGACCAAGGGUUCCUGUCCAACGUUAAUCGGGGCAGGGUGAGUCGACCCCUAAGGCGAGGCCGAAAGGCGUAGUCGAUGGGAAACGGGUUAAUAUUCCCGUACUUGGUGUUACUGCGAAGGGGGGACGGAGAAGGCUAUGUUGGCCGGGCGACGGUUGUCCCGGUUUAAGCGUGUAGGUGUGUGUUCCAGGUAAAUCCGGUUCACUUUAACACUGAGGCGUGAUGACGAGGCACUACGGUGCUGAAGCAACAAAUGCCCUGCUUCCAGGAAAAGCCUCUAAGCAUCAGGUAACAUCAAAUCGUACCCCAAACCGACACAGGUGGUCAGGUAGAGAAUACCAAGGCGCUUGAGAGAACUCGGGUGAAGGAACUAGGCAAAAUGGUGCCGUAACUUCGGGAGAAGGCACGCUGACACGUAGGUGAAGUGAUUUACUCACGGAGCUGAAGUCAGUCGAAGAUACCAGCUGGCUGCAACUGUUUAUUAAAAACACAGCACUGUGCAAACACGAAAGUGGACGUAUACGGUGUGACGCCUGCCCGGUGCCGGAAGGUUAAUUGAUGGGGUCAGCGCAAGCGAAGCUCCUGAUCGAAGCCCCGGUAAACGGCGGCCGUAACUAUAACGGUCCUAAGGUAGCGAAAUUCCUUGUCGGGUAAGUUCCGACCUGCACGAAUGGCGUAAUGAUGGCCAGGCUGUCUCCACCCGAGACUCAGUGAAAUUGAACUCGCUGUGAAGAUGCAGUGUACCCGCGGCAAGACGGAAAGACCCCGUGAACCUUUACUAUAGCUUGACACUGAACAUUGAGCCUUGAUGUGUAGGAUAGGUGGGAGGCUUUGAAGUGUGGACGCCAGUCUGCAUGGAGCCGACCUUGAAAUACCACCCUUUAAUGUUUGAUGUUCUAACGUGGACCCGUGAUCCGGGUUGCGGACAGUGUCUGGUGGGUAGUUUGACUGGGGCGGUCUCCUCCUAAAGAGUAACGGAGGAGCACGAAGGUUGGCUAAUCCUGGUCGGACAUCAGGAGGUUAGUGCAAUGGCAUAAGCCAGCUUGACUGCGAGCGUGACGGCGCGAGCAGGUGCGAAAGCAGGUCAUAGUGAUCCGGUGGUUCUGAAUGGAAGGGCCAUCGCUCAACGGAUAAAAGGUACUCCGGGGAUAACAGGCUGAUACCGCCCAAGAGUUCAUAUCGACGGCGGUGUUUGGCACCUCGAUGUCGGCUCAUCACAUCCUGGGGCUGAAGUAGGUCCCAAGGGUAUGGCUGUUCGCCAUUUAAAGUGGUACGCGAGCUGGGUUUAGAACGUCGUGAGACAGUUCGGUCCCUAUCUGCCGUGGGCGCUGGAGAACUGAGGGGGGCUGCUCCUAGUACGAGAGGACCGGAGUGGACGCAUCACUGGUGUUCGGGUUGUCAUGCCAAUGGCACUGCCCGGUAGCUAAAUGCGGAAGAGAUAAGUGCUGAAAGCAUCUAAGCACGAAACUUGCCCCGAGAUGAGUUCU
Molecule: ribosomal RNA, 1609 nt
Filed under: Salmonella enterica subsp. enterica serovar Kedougou
Lineage: Bacteria; Pseudomonadati; Pseudomonadota; Gammaproteobacteria; Enterobacterales; Enterobacteriaceae
Description: bacterial LSU rRNA
Rfam family: Bacterial large subunit ribosomal RNA
Source: RNAcentral